This is a long non-coding RNA of Helianthus annuus (common sunflower), 1382 nucleotides long. RefSeq lists it as uncharacterized. The record is from RefSeq and is a predicted model, not a curated record. NCBI's taxonomy places the organism in Eukaryota, Viridiplantae, Streptophyta, Magnoliopsida, Asterales, Asteraceae. The transcript is spliced from 6 exons.
AAGAGGUGAAUCCUUCAAUGGUAGAUUUUACAUUCUUUAGUAAAUGGUCUGGUGCAAUGCAGAUUGCAUUAAGACGGGCAGCGAUGUCAUAUAUGAAAACUGUGGACGAUUCUUACAUUGGGAGCUCUGAUGAGGAUUCUUUUCUGGUUGCUCAAUAUCACUACCGAUUGUUAUCAUAUUACUUAUACAAGCAAGGAAAGUAACUACUUGAAAGGAGCAUUCCAUGUAUAUAGACAAUGUUUUCCCUCUUUACAGGUGAUGUAUUAUUUAAAAGAAAUAGAAAUGAUUCCCCUGGGCCGCUUAUGUUUUAUUGAACUCUUGAUUAACAUUUUUUAUGUACAGUUUGUAUGCGUAUAUAAUCCUAUAUAUGCUUAUGUAUGCCGCAAAUAUAUACUUCUGGAAGCACUGCAGAAUCAACUACUCCUUCAUAUUUGGUUUUAAUCAAGGAACUGAAUUAAGCUACUAGGAUGUAUUCCUCUUUAGCACGGGUCUUGCAGUAUAUGCCCAUAUACCACCAACAAUCCACUACCAAUUCGGGUUCCAGGUUUGUUACUUUCUUUAAAAUUAUUUGUUCUAGACCAAAUAUACAACAUAUUAUUCUUUUAUUAUUAUUGUUAUAUGUAUUCUCCUAUUUACAUAUAUAAAUGUAGGUAAUAAAGUUGCUACAAAUCAAGACCAUAAUAUGAAGAUGCAUAUAAAAGACUUAUAAGAAAGUCGAACAUCGUCAAGAAGAAUUUGCAUAUGAUGAAGAAGGUUUGGAACCUGUUCGAAAUAAUGAAUCAUAAGUUAAAGAGUUUGUUAGGGUCAAAAUGAUGUGUCAAACUAAAAAAUAGAAAUUUGAACAUGAAUUCGAAUUCUGAUUCGAACUCGAAUUCUGAUUCGAACUCGAAUUCUGAUUCGAACUCGAAUUCAGAUUUGUAUACUGGUGAUACCACAAAAUCGAAGAGCAAAAGGCGAACGCCAGCAUGGUGUGAUAGAAUACUGUGGUAUGGGGAGGGGAUCCAUCAGAAGUCAUAUACUCGGUGGGAGUCACGGUUCUCUGACCACCGGCCCGUUUGUGCAAUGUUUUUAAUAUUUUUACAUAACCAAAGGAGUUGAGAAGACCGAUUGUGGCUGCUUGCGAGUUUUGACCAGUCAAUUUUGUGGAUGAAAUGCCUUACAUUUUAAAAGACGACAAAUAUGAGACAAAGUACAAGACUGACUUAAAAGAGGGAACUCAAUUUACUAAGGGAAAGGUUUUAGUAACUCGAAGGAUAUGCAUCUUCAAAGGGACUCGACUAUCUUUAAAUUGUGUAUCCACUGUAUCACUAAUUUAUGUAACAUGAGACUUUGUAUUUUAUUUUAUUUGUACACUUGAUAUUUAUCUUAAUAGUUUUCUCCAA